RNAcentral lists this ribosomal RNA (527 nucleotides) under uncultured bacterium. Its description in RNAcentral is "partial 16S ribosomal RNA". It matches the Rfam family "Bacterial small subunit ribosomal RNA", at positions 355 to 874 of the family's 1533-position model. The record is from RNAcentral.
UGGGGAAUUUUGGACAAUGGGCGAAAGCCUGAUCCAGCAAUGCCGCGUGUGUGAAGAAGGCCUUCGGGUUGUAAAGCACUUUUGUCCGGAAAGAAAUCCUUGGCUCUAAUACAGUCGGGGGAUGACGGUACCGGAAGAAUAAGCACCGGCUAACUACGUGCCAGCAGCCGCGGUAAUACGUAGGGUGCAAGCGUUAAUCGGAAUUACUGGGCGUAAAGCGUGCGCAGGCGGUUUGCUAAGACCGAUGUGAAAUCCCCGGGCUCAACCUGGGAACUGCAUUGGUGACUGGCAGGGCUAGAGUAUGGCAGAGGGGGGUUAGAAUUCCACGUGUAGCAGUGAAAUGCGUAGAGAUGUGGAGGAAUACCGAUGGCGAAGGCAGCCCCCUGGGCCAAUACUGACGCUCAUGCACGAAAGCGUGGGGAGCAAACAGGAUUAGAUACCCUGGUAGUCCACGCCCAAACGAUGUCAACUAGUUGUUGGGGAUUCAUUUCCUUAGUAACGUAGCUAACGCGUGAAGUUGACCGCCU